GACGAACGCUGGCGGCGUGCCUAAUACAUGCAAGUGGAGCGCUGAAGGUUGGUACUUGUACCAACUGGAUGAGCAGCGAACGGGUGAGUAACGCGUGGGGAAUCUGCCUUUGAGCGGGGGACAACAUUUGGAAACGAAUGCUAAUACCGCAUAAAAACUUUAAACACAAGUUUUAAGUUUGAAAGAUGCAAUUGCAUCACUCAAAGAUGAUCCCGCGUUGUAUUAGCUAGUUGGUGAGGUAAAGGCUCACCAAGGCGAGGAUACAUAGCCGACCUGAGAGGGUGAUCGGCCACAUUGGGACUGAGACACGGCCCAAACUCCUCCGGGAGGCAGCAGUAGGGAAUCUUCGGCAAUGGACGAAAGUCUGACCGAGCAACGCCGCGUGAGUGAAGAAGGUUUUCGGAUCGUAAAACUCUGUUGGUAGAGAAGAACGUUGGUGAGAGUGGAAAGCUCAUCAAGUGACGGUAACUACCCAGAAAGGGACGGCUAACUACGUG
RNAcentral lists this ribosomal RNA (497 nucleotides) under uncultured bacterium. RNAcentral describes it as "partial 16S ribosomal RNA". It matches the Rfam family "Bacterial small subunit ribosomal RNA", at positions 28 to 507 of the family's 1533-position model. The record is from RNAcentral.